CAGCAGCCACGGUAAUACGGAGGGUGCAAGCGUUAAUCGGAAUUACUGGGCGUAAAGCGCACGCAGGCGGUCUGUCAAGUCAGAUGUGAAAUCCCCGGGCUUAACCUGGGAACUGCAUUUGAAACUGGCAGGCUAGAGUCUUGUAGAGGGGGGUAGAAUUCCAGGUGUAGCGGUGAAAUGCGUAGAGAUCUGGAGGAAUACCGGUGGCGAAGGCGGCCCCCUGGACAAAGACUGACGCUCAGGUGCGAAAGCGUGGGGAGCAAACAGGAUUAGAUACCCGAGUAGUCCCUGUCUCUUAUAC
Molecule: ribosomal RNA, 301 nt
Filed under: uncultured bacterium
Lineage: Bacteria
Description: partial 16S ribosomal RNA
Rfam family: Bacterial small subunit ribosomal RNA
Source: RNAcentral